Molecule: ribosomal RNA, 431 nt
Filed under: uncultured Pseudomonas sp.
Lineage: Bacteria; Pseudomonadati; Pseudomonadota; Gammaproteobacteria; Pseudomonadales; Pseudomonadaceae
Description: bacterial SSU rRNA
Rfam family: Bacterial small subunit ribosomal RNA
Source: RNAcentral
AGAGUUUGAUCCUGGCUCAGGACGAACGCUUGCGGCGUGCCUAAGAAAUGCAAGUCGAACGGAUGACUUCGGUCAUUAGCGGCGGACGGGUGAGUAAUGCCUAGGAAUCUGCCUGGUAGUGGGGGACAACGUUUCGAAAGGAACGCUAAUACCGCAUACGUCCUACGGGAGAAAGCAGGGGACCUUCGGGCCUUGCGCUAUCAGAUGAGCCUAGGUCGGAUUAGCUAGUUGGUGAGGUAAUGGCUCACCAAGGCGACGAUCCGUAACUGGUCUGAGAGGAUGAUCAGUCACACUGGAACUGAGACACGGUCCAGACUCCUACGGGAGGCAGCAGUGGGGAAUAUUGGACAAUGGGCGAAAGCCUGAUCCAGCCAUGCCGCGUGUGUGAAGAAGGUCUUCGGAUUGUAAAGCACUUUAAGUUGGGAGGAAGG